CAGUCAAGCAAACAGUGUCUGGGGCUGCAGAAACCAGGGAGCAGAGAAUCCAGGGUAAACAUGACUUCCACGCUGACCAUUGCUCUUUUGCUUUCUUGGCAGUUUCAUGCUCCCUGUAGCAUCGUGCAAAGGCGGGGACCAGACUCUACUGGGAAAACUGGGAUGAGCUGAUGAGAGGAAUUUUGUCAUCUUUGUGCUAACCUAGACAUAUCACUGUGGCUCAGUGGUAAACAAUCUGCCUACCGAUGCACAAGAUGC
Molecule: non-coding RNA, 258 nt
Organism: Odocoileus virginianus texanus
Lineage: Eukaryota; Metazoa; Chordata; Mammalia; Artiodactyla; Cervidae
Source: RefSeq, a predicted model, not a curated record